GCAUAUUUAAAAUAUAAUGGCAAUUAAUUACUUAAGUAUUGAUAUUUUUUUAAUUUAUAAUUGUAUGGUUUUAUAAUUAUAAUUGUGUAUAAAAAAUUAAUUUAGUUAUUUUAAAUUAUAAAUAUUUAAUUUUAUAUGGAUACAGUUAUAUUACUUUUGUAUUUAUUGCAUUAUAAUUUAUUAUUUAUUAAGCUUUUAUUAUUUAUGUAUAAAUUAUAAUUUUUAUGUCAUUGAUUUUUUGCUAAACAAACAGCAAAACUGAAUAAACUUCACUUCUAUUGCUAUGAAAACAAACAACAAUAGAGAAAUAAUUAUCAUUCGAACUCUACUCUAAUUCAAAGUCUAUUUUAACCCGAAGUUUACUUUAUUUCCUUAGCUAAGAUCUCACGUGACUUAGGAAUUUUUUGUGCCCAAAAAAAAAGUGAGAUUCAGUUAUAACUCACUUUAUCAACACACUUUUAUAAAGUUACUUUCAUAUUCAUUUUUGCAAACCAAAUAACUAAUAAGACGUCACUUUCAAAAAUUGCCAUUUUCGGUGCUUCACUUUGGCCAACCUGUCACGCCCCGGAUUACCGCGUUUCUCCGGGCACGCCAACGGAUCCGCCGUAUAUAAGAAAUUUUUCUUGUAUACGAAGCGAUAGCUGUACCUGUAAACCAAAAAUAAGCUACAACUACAAGAUAAAAGCUGUUAAACAAGAA
RNAcentral lists this long non-coding RNA (699 nucleotides) under Ananas comosus (pineapple). Its description in RNAcentral is "long non-coding RNA (ACOM_LNC023673)". The record is from RNAcentral. Lineage: Eukaryota; Viridiplantae; Streptophyta; Magnoliopsida; Poales; Bromeliaceae.